RNAcentral lists this long non-coding RNA (236 nucleotides) under Elaeis guineensis (African oil palm). RNAcentral describes it as "long non-coding RNA (EGUI_LNC039406)". The record is from RNAcentral. Lineage: Eukaryota; Viridiplantae; Streptophyta; Magnoliopsida; Arecales; Arecaceae.
UGUCCAUCAUGUGCGAUAGGCUUGCAAUUCAAUCAACCAUUGACGUGCAAAUAUAUUAUAAAAUACAACCUCGAAGAUCAAAAAUAAUAACAAUUAUUACAUUUCUUUUUAUGAGACUUGCAUGUCUCCAAAUUAUAUGAAUCAUAUGAUGCGCAUAGGCACUCAAUAUAUAUUCAUUAGAUCUAAUCUAAUGAGAUGUGUAGGUCUCCAAAUACAUUAAUUUAUUAGUAUUCACC